Molecule: long non-coding RNA, 399 nt
Filed under: Mytilus galloprovincialis (Mediterranean mussel)
Lineage: Eukaryota; Metazoa; Mollusca; Bivalvia; Mytilida; Mytilidae
Source: RNAcentral
AAGGUAAUAAAAAUGCAAUAAAAAGUUAGUAUGAUACAUAAAAAUAUAAACUGAGAUCGAAUAAAAGUCUAAAACUGUCCGAGUAUUAAUUAUGUGGAAAAGCCUGUCUGAAUAAAUAAGUUUUUAUGUUUUUCUUGAAAGCAUCCACAGAUUCAGUGUUUCGCAAUUCUUUUGGCAAGUCAUUCCAUAAAACGGCGGCCGCUCUAUCAAACCGUCUAUCUCCGUAUGUUUUUGUUCUUACUAUUGGUUUGACUAGAAGCAUGUUGUUUUCUGACCGAAGAGUUCUUGUUGGCUUGUAAAUGUUAACUAGAUCUUGAAGGUACACGGGUGCUUCUUGUUUCAGAGAUUUAAACACAUAAAGCAACACUUUGUAUUUGCAUCGAUAUGCUACCGGCAGCC